UGAUUGAUUGAUUGAUUGACUGUGGAAAUGGAUAAAAGUCGCCCAUCCAAACAAUGACUACCAUCAGUGCAGGUAAGAAAAAAACAUUAAUUUUAACUUUUAUCAUCUACAAUAUGGUCUUAUUUAUUUUAUAGUACAGUACAUUGAUUAUUGCUUUCAUUUUAUGGCUCAAUGGUCUCAUUAGAUAGUAAAAUUCAUGUUAAAUUGCUGCUUUAGGGGUUGUUUUUAAAAGUCUGGCAUGGAUUAAUCUGUUUUGCAUUGCUUUAUAUGGGAAAGUGUGCCUUGGUUUUGGAACGCUUUGGUUUUGGAACGGACUUCCGGAACAGAUUAAGUUCGAAAACCAAGGUACCACUGUAUAUAUGCAGUAUGGAAUGAAGUUUUAAAAAGCAAGCCAUUCUUUUUUGUGUCUUGUGUGCUCUGGGGGCAGAUGAGUCGCAUUGGAGUCAACAUCAGUUAAGACGUUCUCAAGUAAAUUUUUGUCUUGACAGGCUAAAGACUGACAGAAGACACGGGUUCACAGCCAGUGGACCUGCUUUGGGCUGAGCCUGCUCUGCUAAGUAGGCCAAGGACUGGCACGAACCGAAUUGGCACUGUGGGAAUCGUGAUCACUAAGCGAGCACAGACAAGCAGCGAAUCCCACCCCU
Non-coding RNA from Podarcis lilfordi (Lilford's wall lizard), 644 nucleotides. NCBI's taxonomy places the organism in Eukaryota, Metazoa, Chordata, Lepidosauria, Squamata, Lacertidae. The record is from the annotation of a GenBank genome assembly.